GGGAGGCCGGGGUCGAGGCGCGCCUCGGCGGUCGAACGGCCCCGGGCAGAACGGUGACGGCUGGCGGCGCGCAGUGGCGCGCUUUCCCCGUUUCCUAAGAAUUGAUGUCCAUGUCAAGAUGUGUAUUUGCAUUUCCUUCUUCAAAAUUCAGUUGGGUGGUUCCAAGAAGAGGAAAGGCUAGACCAGAAAGAUGGUACAGCCUCUGCUUAAAGCCACAGAAACAGAGCAUGUCAUAAAGAUGUGGCAACUGCACCCAUGCAGAUCAUACAGAGGCCAAAGGAAAAAAGAAAGACUUGUAGCAAUUUCUUUUUUUCAGAUCCGUUAUGCAACAAUUUCUCAAGCGGCCUAAUUUGUAAUAAAACUCAGCACCAGCAGUUCCUAUUUAUUUCAAUACAAGUUGUGUAAUUCAGCAAGGAUUUGAAUAACUGUUAAAAAAAGGUUAAUGCUAGCUGCUCCACUUUUCAGUUUCCGCUUGAAGUUCCUACUAAGCAAAGAUGAUCAGAAAUGCAUUUAAAAGAUUUUGUUAUCCCUUAGGUUCUUUAGAACUAUAGUAUUUCUGCCUUAAAUGUUUUUCCUCAAGAUAUCAUGCACCCGUCCCUAGUAAUUUCUUUCUGUGGUGCUUUUUCUCCUCAGCAUUCAGUUUUUACUGUAUUUGUUAGGAAAACAGGAAAAGAAAAUAUCAAACACAUUUUUGUAUGUUUGGGCCAUGGUCUCUAGUUCCCUUUUCACCCAACUAUCAGGGCUUACUGUUUUCCACCACCUAGUUAUGUUGCUUUCAUUAACUUCUGUAUAUUCUUCAUGCUCAUUAGCAUUCUCUUGUUCUUCUUCAACUAAAUUGAACACAUUACCUCAGUCAGCAGUUGAAGUAAAUGCAUCCAGAUCGGUGGUUCCCAAAUCCGUCUUGCUCACUACCCACUGCAGCCAUUGUAGGUAGCAGUAGCAGAAGUUGCUGUAUCAUCAGUUUUCAGUAUCAGCCAGGACAAUGUGCUUGGCUGGAAUUAUCUACGCCGAGCUUUGCUUCAGCAUGUUAGAAUCUGGGAAUUUCGGUCUAGGUCAUCCUCAGCCCGACGUGGAUACAAGAGCAUCUCUCCUUUUCUGAGAGCCUAUAAAAGCUGAAUCCUGAUCGCGGCAUUUCUUAGACGCAGGAUUCCCUGCUGUCACCUAUGAGAGGGAGGAAAACAACCUUAAGUGACUUGGAAUAUAUAUGCUUAAACACUGAUUGAAUUCAUUUAAGGUUGUCAUAGAAAGUUACUAAUCUACAUGGUAAGAGUAACUUGAUUAUACCCAUUGUGAGUGACUUAAAGAAUAAUGGGAAGCAGUAGCCCUCAUUUUAUACAUUUCCUUUUGAAAUCUACUGUGCAUUUAACUUACAAUACAGUGAAGAAAAAUAUUUUUUCACUGAUGCAGUUCUUUCAGAAUAUUCCUACAUUUCUUGCAAGCUUUGAGGAAAGAGCCUUUAAAAACUAUUUUAAGUUUUGACAAUAAGCAUAAACCAAAAUAUGGAUAAAGCCAGUAUUCCUAUUGUUUUACAAUAACCAUACUCUGCAUUAUUUUAAAACCAAUUUAACAAAGAUCCACUUUGUGAUAUACUGUGUUCUUACAUAACAGGAAAAAGAUUUUUUUUCCUUGUACUGUGUCUCAUAGUAACAUGCCAAAAUUGUUACCAUUCUGCUAUAGAACUCUAAUAGCAACUCACCUUUUUCUUGAGUUAGAUGGCUUUUGCUGAGCUUUGUUAUUCCACAUAUGUCCUUCUGCUGGAACCUUUUACAUCAGAAAACCUUUGAAAAGUGGGAGUAGCUCUUUAAAUUUAUCUGGAAGCAGUGGGGUUUCUUUUACAAAUAGCUGUUGCUGCUCACGUAGUUUUAUUUGUUUUAUUUCAAGGUAGUAAAUGCUAUGAAUUUGUCAAAUCUUCAUGAAAAGACAGGACAUCCUAUCCAUAAAUUUCCAACACAGCAUCAACUUCUGUUCAUUCAACAUUUUCCUUCCUUUAACAUCUCUUCCAAAGUUAGAAAAUGCAAUUUAUGCAUCAAUGUAUUUUCUAACAUUUUUUGAAACUUCAUUUGGUGCUGAGUGUCAGAAUCCUACUUACCCUGUAGCAAGUUCUAAAACGUUAGCUCUUUAACACAAAGGGACAGAUGUUCUUACAGGUUCCCUGUGUACCUGUACUUCUAGAGACAUACCAUAUACCCUGUGUACCACAUUUUUUCUGCUGAGAUCAUCUCUUUCUUGUGAAUCAGAAUGGAGAAGCAGGGAAGCUCCUAACAUCUUACCCUUAGUUUAUUGAUAAGGUAUUUGUUAGUUCCAAAUAAAUUCAUGUGCAUGUUUUUCACAGAAUCACAGAAUCACCCGGGUUGGAAGGGACCCCAAGGAUCAUGUAGUUCCAACCCCUCUGCCUGGCAGGGCCACCAAACAUACACAUUCAGAUCAGGUUGCCCAGGACCCCGUCCAACCUGGCCUUGAACACGUUCAAGGACGGGGCAUCCACAACCUCCCUGGGCAGCCCGUUCCAGGGCCUAACCACUCUCCUUGUAAAGAACUUCCCCCUAACAUCCAACCUAAAUCUUCCCUCCUUCAACUUGGAGCUGCUUUUUGUUUUUGUUGUUUUUUGUUUGUUUCCGAUCACUCCUCUCAAAAUGCUGUGAACCAAAUUCUCUAGGAUGUAAGCAACAAGGCUGGAGGACUGCACUAACAUAAGGAAAAGGACAGUGAAAUCACUUGAAGCCACAGAGCAGCUCAAGUUUGAGAGAUUAUUUAGAGGUAUUGUUCUUGGUGAUAUUAAAUGCUCAAAGUAGAACAUAAAACAUUUUUUUCAUAUUUCUAGUCAGAACAACUGUUUCCUGAAAUGAUUUAUAUAUAUAUAUAAAAUGGUGAAGCACAGUGUAGCAAUUACAGCAUCAGCUCUCGGAGCACCACAGACAGUACAGUUACAAGCAAUAGAGGAAGGCGUGUUAACCACCCCGUGAGAACGCAGCACAAGCUACAACAAUCAAACAGAAUGCAAGGCACAUAUUUAGCUCUCAGUUGCUUCACCAAACCAGCACGGCUGCUUCCAGCCACAAAGCCAAAUGGCUGUAUGGCAUGGCACAGCACGCAGCGCUCCCAAACCUCCCAUUAGGAUAAACACUCCCACUGAGCACACAUGCAAAACACAGCACUCCCGAGCCUCUCUUCAACUUCUGUUUAAUGUUGAAAUCUUCCCUGCUACUUUAUGAUUUCUUAUUAAAUGCUGCAUUUCACAAACAGGACGAUUGCAGUAUCUGUCAUCCUGCCCUUGAUCUAUGCUAGUCCCACGUUGUUCAUAAGGGGCUGCCACGCAAUUGGUAAGGUAUCUUUCCCCCCAGGGUUGCUAACUAUGCCUGGGCCAGGCCUUGCUUAACAGGUUCUGUAAGAGAAUAACAUGAAGAUGCAAGCAAGUGAAACUACUUUUCACAUUCCCUCCAAAUUAGCAUGUUAAUAUGUUGGAUGCUGUGCUUUGCAUUUUCCCUCAUGCAACUCUUUGCAGAUUAUAAAAAAGCAGUAGUUAGUCCUUCAAAAGGAAAGCAAAAAAAUACUCUUCCUAUUUCCUUAUGUGCUUGUAUCACCCUACAAAGUUUAACAACAUUGUUGGAAGUUUAACAACAUUAAUAUCCUUACAACAGAAAUCUGUAGCAUAGCAUGUAAACAACAUUUAAUCCUUCAUUUGGUUCUUUAGUUUUCUUUUGCAAUUUCUACAGCUGUCCUUCUUUUAAUUUUUCUAUGAGAUGCCCAGAAGAAUAUUCCCCAUACAGUCUGCUGUUUUAUUCUGUUGGGAACCUCACUGCCAUUUUGAAUUAAAUACAUAACAUGCUAAAACAUAAGGUCCUUACCUUGCUUAUACUAACAUCCUUCCCUUAGAAGGACAGCUGCUUCUCCUUCCCCUGCCUUGUGGACCCCUUACACCCUCCCUUACCUUUCAGAUUUCUGAUGUUAGUCGACCUGCUGGUAACAGCAACAAUACUAGGAACAUGGGAGAAUAAGAGAGUGAAGAGCAGUUACUGAGGGUGAUACUGGAAUGAUACUAGCUGAGGAUUCAGUUGUUCUGUUGUGAAUAUCCUGUGGGUACAGAAAUGCUGCAGACAAAAAGCUGGACAGUCUCCAGCCACAAAGGUCAGCAAAUUCAGAGGGAGACAUUGAAAGAAACUCACUCAGCAGACUGCGUUACUCUUAUCCUCAUGGCUUACUUUCUCUCACUGCCCAUUAUAGAAUAAACAGCAGAUCUACUGAGCUGAAGAAUGCACGGAUGCAUUAUGGGGCUGGGGUAUCAGCCUGUGAUACACAGGGGAAACAAGAGAAAGAUAGAACACAGUGCUGGCAUCUGAACAUCCUAUACCUUACCUUGUGACUCACUGAAAGUUGCCUUGAACUCUGUUGAAGAAGCUGCUUUCAAGGAUGAAACCCACUGAUUUAGAAGGGAAAUUUAGAAGGAUUUUUAAUAGUGAAGAAAACAGGAAGGGAUGACACGGGAGGUAACUGAUAUCACACAUUGAUCAAGGAACAUCUGAAACUGCAGAAGGGCUAACAGAAGUAUUUGGCUAAAUCUAAGAUAGACCAAAAGAUGAGUACAGUGUAGAGUAAGUUCAUCUUACUACUGACGUAAUGACUCCUGCUUCACAGAGCUGUUUUUCUAAUGUUCUUUCUAAUAUGCAUGAAAUACAAAAUCCAUCCAUCAGUACUGUUAGUGGUGACUCCUGCUUGACAAGUAACAAUGUGUUACUGGAGUGCCUCUUCCAUAGAACCUUUUAAGUAAAGUGUUCUCUAGUUAUGGAAUUGAUGUUCAACUCUUGGUGUACAAAGGUUCUAGCUGACUUCCACUGACUUUGUCAUCCAUCAGUAAUUCUGCUCUUUAAAAAUAGAUUUUUCUUUUCUUACCCAAUCUUUGCAUCACUGUUUCACUAGUACACAUUCCCUCCAUGCUGUCUUUUUCACUGAAUAUUUACCAAGGGCUGAAUUUCCUCACAAGAUUGGUAAUGAGUACAGUAUGUGAAAUAAAUGCAAUAAGAUACCAAGUUUUAAAAAAGCACAUGUCAUCUGGCAAGUGCUCGUUUCUCUUCAGCGUCUGUUUCCUAUCAUGAAUGUUGACUGCAUGAGCCAGAAAUGCAUGCAGAUCUUCCUGUCUCUUCUGAAGUUUAUAUAUUUUGACUGAAUGAAUGCCCAUUUCUUCAUAUCAUUUUAUCAUCCAAUAAUCCAUUUUCAGCAAUAAACUAAUGUACAUAUAUGAAUUACUGGUGACUAAAAUUCUAGUGACAAAACUAUAAAGUUGCAGAACAUAGCUAGUUGGUGUAGAACCAAAUAAAAUUGCAGUGCCCUUUUCACUGAAUGCAAACUCCAGGUUUUUAUCCUUGUUUUAAAAAAAAAAAAAAAAGGAUUUGUAGUAACAUAGAAAAUUCUUGGCCUCUCCCCUUUCCCUCUUCCCCCCUAAAAAAAAGAAAACUACCUCAAAUAUUGACUUUGAGUUAAAGAAAUCACUGGUAUCAGUAGCAAUAUUGUCAGGGACUGAGACAACUUCUUAUGAAGGAAGUUCAUGCAUAGUUCUGACAAUUGAGCAAAAAAUUAAUUAAUUUACAUUCAGAAGGCUCCAUUUUAAUUCUUUCUAGAAUGAUUUGAUUUAUAAAAAUUGAAACAACUGACUUUGCUUGAUAAGCAAACAUCAAAUAAUACAAAUUUGGCAUUCGUUUCUCAGCAUUAACUUGAUCUUACAUUUUUCUGUCCUCAGAUACGAAACUUAAAUCACAGCCCCCAACACUCCCUGUUUGUACUGCUAUAGCCACUGCAGAGUUUUUGUGGAAUUCCAGUUUGUUAUUUUACAAUAUUCCUUCUGCCUGUUUUCUUUGAAACCAUCUUUGCUAACUGAAACCAUAAGCAUACUUUGCCAGGAGCUCCUUACUUUAACAGAACAAAAAAGCCACCUGAAUCAGAAACAGUUUUCUGACAUGUUUCUUACUACCAGAAAACAGAAUACCUUCAGAAUUCUUAAUGCAGUCCAUCAAGGGGCAUUUUCCUUUUGGCCAAUAAAAUUUUACAUCUUUUGGCCAGUGUUGAAAUUCAUUUUGAAUGUAUCAUGUAUUUUACUGACGCUUUGGAGAAAAGCAAAAGCUGCUACAGUGCAAGCAUGGACAUACAUACUCUGUUCCAUUACCUCCACAAAGGUAAUAGAAGGAAGAGGCUGUAACCUCUUUCCAUUCUGUACGUUCCUGCUCUUUCCAUCAGCUCUAAGAGCCUGUUAUCAACUGUUCCACCUACCUUACUAAGAUCUUGCUUAAACAUUGUGCUUGGAUGCCUUUAUUUUCUUACAUUUGCUGCUUUCCUUAUAACUGCUAUACAAGGGAGUCUAUAUGUUGUUAUCUGAAGUGUGCAUCUAAAAUAAGUCCGCUACUUCCUCCUGAUUGUGACAAUUAAGCUGUUAGCUGAUUGUCUGGGAGGGAAAGUAUGAUCCCCUGGUGCUUCAAAGACAUAGGAAACAUACACUACCAAAAUUCUAAAGAUAUGAAAUAGCACACAGAAUUGUGCAGUAAAAGGAACAAAUUAACAGAACAUGCUUUGAAAUAUUACACUUAAUAAGAAUCAUAGAAUGGCCUGGGUUGAAAAGGACCACAAUGAUCGUCUAAUUUCAAUCCCCCUGUUAUGUGCAGGAUCACCAACCACCAGACCAGGCUGCCCAGAGCCACAUCCAGCCUGCCCUUGAAUGCUUCCAGGAAUGUGGCUUCCACAGCCUCCUUGGGCAACUUGUUCCAGUGUGUCAUCACCCUAUAUAUAAUAUAUAUAUAUUCCUCCUUUUGUAAGAUAUUCAGACAGUCAUUGGCUGUGCACUGAUUAGACCCAGUCGUUCCCGUCUGUGCCAGCACUCAGUCACACUGAAAUCUCACACUCAUUAAAAAUAGCAUUCUCUUAAAGGUGUUUGUUACAAUAGGUCACUAAAUACUUUCUUUCCCCCCAAAAAAGAAACAUUUUCCAGAAUAAAGAAAGGAAUUAAUCUACAUUAAGCAGGAAGAGUCUGUUGUUCAUCUUAAAAUGAUUUUGACAGCUUAGAGUAAUAAUAAAAAUUGAUGUACCUUAAAUCUUUUACCACUUCUCAGUAAUGCUGUCCCCUACUCUGAGCACUUUUCUCAGUAAUCUAAAUACAAAUGGACAAAUAGGAAAAUAACUCAGUGUAAAGGGUCACUAGCUUAUGAGGAGUCCAUUAAAUUACUUUUCCUCAUUAAAUGUUAUUAAGCCCUGCCAUUUUUGUUGGUUUAUGGGUAUCAUCAAUUUUAAUGAGUAUUGCUUUUUUUUUUUUUUUGCUGAGUUUGAGCAUCUUUAUCCCUUUUGUUU
This is a long non-coding RNA of Lagopus muta (rock ptarmigan), 7326 nucleotides long. RefSeq lists it as uncharacterized. The transcript has 2 exons. The record is from RefSeq and is a predicted model, not a curated record. Lineage: Eukaryota; Metazoa; Chordata; Aves; Galliformes; Phasianidae.